RNAcentral lists this ribosomal RNA (586 nucleotides) under Cryptosphaeria sp. ATCC MYA-4414. RNAcentral's name for it is "eukaryotic LSU rRNA". It matches the Rfam family "Eukaryotic large subunit ribosomal RNA", at positions 40 to 647 of the family's 3401-position model. Lineage: Eukaryota; Fungi; Ascomycota; Sordariomycetes; Xylariales; Diatrypaceae. The record is from RNAcentral.
AUAUCAAUAAGCGGAGGAAAAGAAACCAACAGGGAUUGCCCUAGUAACGGCGAGUGAAGCGGCAACAGCUCAAAUUUGAAAUCUGGCCCUCGGGUCCGAGUUGUAAUUUGUAGAGGAUGCUUUGGGUGCGGUGCCUUCCGAGUUCCUUGGAACAGGACGCCUUAGAGGGUGAGAGCCCCGUACGGUUGGACACCAAGCCUAUGUAAAGCUCCUUCGACGAGUCGAGUAGUUUGGGAAUGCUGCUCUAAAUGGGAGGUAAAUUUCUUCUAAAGCUAAAUACCGGCCAGAGACCGAUAGCGCACAAGUAGAGUGAUCGAAAGAUGAAAAGUACUUUGAAAAGAGGGUUAAAUAGCACGUGAAAUUGUUGAAAGGGAAGCGUUUAUGACCAGACCUCUGCCUGGCGGAUCAUCCGGUGUUCUUCACCGGUGCACUUCGCCUGGCUCAGGCCAGCAUCGAUUUCUGCAGGGGGAUAAAGGCCGUGGGAAUGUAGCUCCCUUCGGGGAGUGUUAUAGCCCUAGGCGUAAUACCUCUGCGGGGAUCGAGGUUCGCGCUUCUGCAAGGAUGCUGGCGUAAUGGUCAUCAACGA